RNAcentral lists this non-coding RNA (230 nucleotides) under bovine gut metagenome. The record is from RNAcentral.
AACUCCCUAUCUGAUAAAGUUUAGCAAACAGUCAGUACCCAGCCUUGGAGCCAAAACCGUGAGGUGAGGUUUAAGCGUAGGCAGGGGAGCAUGAGAGCCGCAAUGCAAAAGCGUGAAGCAAUUCAGCCUCGUUACUACGGGAAGCGGAAGCCGAUGCAUUCAUCAAUGCAGCAGGCAGCAAGAACCGGGGAUCAGCUUUACCCGGGGAGAUUCCGCCGGGGUCAGAGAGC